GGAUGUAAGGGCGAGCUGGCUGUGACAUCUGUCACUACAUUGAUUCCCAGGGUUGAUUCAGCGGAUCUGACUGGCUAGGCCAGUGUCCCCUUCCUCAGUGCUCCAUGUGCAUCCCUCCUAACUCUUCACACUUGGUCAACCCUGAAAAAGGAGGACUGUUGCUCGGUCAAGGGUAUAUGAAUAGCUGUGCUCCCCUUCUAGACCCUCUGUGUACAUAGGAAGUGAUGAAAACGGUUUGAGUGAAUGAAUUCUGCAAGAAGCCUUACCUGAUUUGGCCAGAAUC
RNAcentral lists this small nuclear RNA (283 nucleotides) under Cavia porcellus (domestic guinea pig). RNAcentral's name for it is "7SK RNA". It matches the Rfam family "7SK RNA". Rfam says of the family: 7SK was discovered as an abundant small nuclear RNA in the mid-70s but a possible function has only recently been suggested. Two independent studies have found that 7SK RNA binds the CDK9/cyclin T complex (known as elongation factor P-TEFb). The record is from Rfam by way of RNAcentral. Lineage: Eukaryota; Metazoa; Chordata; Mammalia; Rodentia; Caviidae.